CUCUUCCGAGACCGUCCAAAACAAACAGAGACAAGCAAGCUUAGCAUAACCCAACACAACUUCACCAACAAGAACACAAACAACACCAUUUCAAUUUAAUACGUACUACUUGAAACAAUGUCCCUGAAAAGAAUUAAUAAAGAACUGGUCGACCUCGGGAAG
Molecule: non-coding RNA, 162 nt
Filed under: uncultured Nitzschia
Lineage: Eukaryota; Bacillariophyta; Bacillariophyceae; Bacillariales; Bacillariaceae
Source: RNAcentral